This 156-nucleotide ribosomal RNA is filed under the name uncultured bacterium. Its description in RNAcentral is "partial 16S ribosomal RNA". It matches the Rfam family "Bacterial small subunit ribosomal RNA", at positions 355 to 508 of the family's 1533-position model. The record is from RNAcentral.
UAGGGAAUAUUGGUUCUAUGGAUGCAGUCUGAAACCAGCCAUGCCGCGUGCAGGAAGAAGGCCUUCUGGGUUGUAAACUGCUUUUGCCAGGGGAUAAAAAUUCCAUGCGUGGAAGAUUGAAGGUACCUGGUGAAUAAGCCACGGCUAACUACGUGC